Long non-coding RNA from Lepus europaeus (European hare), 1387 nucleotides. RefSeq lists it as uncharacterized. The record is from RefSeq and is a predicted model, not a curated record. NCBI's taxonomy places the organism in Eukaryota, Metazoa, Chordata, Mammalia, Lagomorpha, Leporidae. The transcript has 2 exons.
GCGAUGAGCCCCGGGUCUCUCCCGGCUCCCCAGACAAGCCUUUCAGGCCGGGACAAGACGCGGCGGGAUGGAAGAUGGCACUGGGAGGGAAAGGUCAGGCGGCUGAGCCUCCCGCGGCUGGGAGCAGGUGGCUGCUCCGGCCAGACGGCCAAGCGACGCAGGUGGGCGGCCCGGACCUGCGGAUCACUUGGGCCCAGGCUGCUGGCAGAGCUGGGACACCUGGCCCGGCCAGCUCCCUACAGUCACCAGGCCAACUUAUACCGCCUGUUAAAGGUGCAGCCGUCCAAGUAUUUGGGCAGUCGUCCGCUGCUUUCCCAGGCUCACUGGCAGGGAGAAGGCUCAGAAGCAGAGCGCUGGGACCGAAACCAACACUCGGAUGUGGGAUGCAGCAUUGCAGCCGGCGGCUGGGCCCCUGGCACCAGCACACGGACCCCAGUCCUGUGUUCCCGAGCAUGAAGCUGUCAGGGUGGCUCUGACUCCCGUGCUACGUGGAGGAAGGGCUCUGUCCCUCUCCCGGGUACUCCUCGGGCCUCACGACCGUCAGCACAGCCCAGGCUGGGGAGCAGACCGUGGGGCGCCAGCCGGCUUGGAGAGCCUUUGGCAGCCCUAAGCCAGCAGGCAGAACCCGCCACAGCUGGAAGUGGGCUUUGUGUUCACAGGGAUGGUGCUUCGGGGAAGGAGCCGAGACACAGCCUCCGGGCCCGCCAUGCUGGUCAUUCCUGGGGCCUGCAGGCUGCAGCCGGGGCUCAGCAGAACCCCAAGGGACACUUACCCACGGGCUCCACCGCAGAGGCACAGAGCCAGCGGCCAGCACUUAAAGAACAGCCGUAUCCAUGCAAGGCCCCCGGGGGACGGGCAGCGUUUAAAACAUGAACAGAUACAAACUGAACGGGCGAGGGGCUGGAGGCCGGGUGGGCACGGCUUGGCACCCACCACCCCUGACAGGCACAUUCUCUCCGAGGCCUUUGCAAGGCUGCUGGCGGCACCCGGCGCUCCGGUUUGAUGUCUGACCUUGUUUGGGGUUUCAAGGCGUCCAAGUAACUUGUCUCAGCACUUACAAGCGCGCCUGAGCCAAGAGUCUCCAACUCUGGGCCGCGAGCCACAGGCGGAGGAAUGGAGGCCACGGGCGUGGCAGGAGCCUGAUCUGCAACCAGGCCCCAGGGAGUGAACGCCCUGGGGACCUCAGUCAGCUCCAGGGACACAAAGACACAAGGCGCUUCAGCAGUUUGGGGACAUGGAAUGGAAAGAUAAGUUUAUUUUGGUGCAAACCACCUUGAAAUCUGUGCACAGUGCUUCCAUAAUGUGCAUGUUCCACGAACUUUUUGAAGACCAUCCCCUCCCCCCCAGUAAAUACUGAGCUGUCCCCAGCAGAGGGGCAGGCAGGACA